GACGAACGCUGGCGGCGUGCUUAACACAUGCAAGUCGAACGGAAAGGCCCUGCUUUCGUGGGGUGCUCGAGUGGCGAACGGGUGAGUAACACGUGAGUAACCUGCCCUUGACUUUGGGAUAACUUCAGGAAACUGGGGCUAAUACCGGAUAGGAGCUCCUGCUGCAUGGUGGGGGUUGGAAAGUUUCGGCGGUUGGGGAUGGACUCGCGGCUUAUCAGCUUGUUGGUGGGGUAGUGGCUUACCAAGGCUUUGACGGGUAGCCGGCCUGAGAGGGUGACCGGCCACAUUGGGACUGAGAUACGGCCCAGACUCCUACGGGAGGCAGCAGUGGGGAAUAUUGCACAAUGGGCGGAAGCCUGAUGCAGCAACGCCGCGUGCGGGAUGACGGCCUUCGGGUUGUAAACCGCUUUCGCCUGUGACGAAGCGUGAGUGACGGUAAUGGGUAAAGAAGCACCGGCUAACUACGUG
RNAcentral lists this ribosomal RNA (468 nucleotides) under uncultured bacterium. RNAcentral describes it as "partial 16S ribosomal RNA". It matches the Rfam family "Bacterial small subunit ribosomal RNA", at positions 28 to 507 of the family's 1533-position model. The record is from RNAcentral.